This 448-nucleotide ribosomal RNA is filed under the name uncultured bacterium. RNAcentral's name for it is "partial 16S ribosomal RNA". It matches the Rfam family "Bacterial small subunit ribosomal RNA", at positions 338 to 795 of the family's 1533-position model. The record is from RNAcentral.
CCUACGGGUGGCUGCAGUAAGGAAUAUUGGUCAAUGGAGGAAACUCUGAACCAGCCAUCCCGCGUGAAGGAUGAAGGGGCUCUGCCUUGUAAACUUCUUUUGUCUGGGGCGAAAAAGCUCGAUUUAUCGAGAACUGACGGUACCAGAAGAAUAAGCACCGGCUAACUCCGUGCCAGCAGCCGCGGUAAUACGGAGGGUGCAAGCGUUUUCCGGAAUCACGGGGUUAAACGGGUGAGUAAGCGGCUGGUUAAAGGCGGUGGCUUAACCAUGGAAUUGCCAUUGAUACUGCAGAGCUUGAAUGAGGUUGAGGUUGGCGGAAUGUGACAUGUAGCGGUGAAAUGCUUAGAUAUGUCAUGGAACACCGAUUGCGAAGGCAGCUGACUGGACCUAUAUUGACGCUGAGGCACGAAAGCGUGGGGAGCGAACAGGAUUAGAUACCCUGGUAGUC